This 497-nucleotide ribosomal RNA is filed under the name uncultured bacterium. Its description in RNAcentral is "partial 16S ribosomal RNA". It matches the Rfam family "Bacterial small subunit ribosomal RNA", at positions 28 to 507 of the family's 1533-position model. The record is from RNAcentral.
GAUGAACGCUGGCGGCGUGCCUAAUACAUGCAAGUCGAGCGAACAGACGAGGAGCUUGCUCCUCUGACGUUAGCGGCGGACGGGUGAGUAACACGUGGAUAACCUACCUAUAAGACUGGGAUAACUUCGGGAAACCGGAGCUAAUACCGGAUAAUAUAUUGAACCGCAUGGUUCAAUAGUAAAAGACGGUUUUGCUUUCACUUAUAGAUGAAUCCGCGCCGCAUUAGCUAGUUGGUAAGGUAACGGCUUACCAAGGCAACGAUGCGUAGCCGACCUGAGAGGGUGAUCGGCCACACUGGAACUGAGACACGGUCCAGACUCCUACGGGAGGCAGCAGUAGGGAAUCUUCCGCAAUGGGCGAAAGCCUGACGGAGCAACGCCGCGUGAGUGAUGAAGGUCUUCGGAUCGUAAAACUCUGUUAUUAGGGAAGAACAAAUGUGUAAGUAACUAUGCACGUCUUGACGGUACCUAAUCAGAAAGCCACGGCUAACUACGUG